Molecule: ribosomal RNA, 305 nt
Filed under: uncultured bacterium
Lineage: Bacteria
Description: bacterial SSU rRNA
Rfam family: Bacterial small subunit ribosomal RNA
Source: RNAcentral
CCUACGGGGGGCAGCAGUGGGGAAUAUUGCACAAUGGGGGAAACCCUGAUGCAGCGACGCCGCGUGAGUGAAGAAGUAUUUCGGUAUGUAAAGCUCUAUCAGCAGGAACGAGACAAGACGGUACCUGACUAUGAAGCCCCGGCUAACUACGUGCCAGCAGCCGCGGUAAUACGUAGGGGGCAAGCGUUAUCCGGAAUCGCUGGGUGUAAAGGGAGCGUAGACGGCUGUGCAAGUCUGAAGUGAAAUGCCGGGGCUCAACCCCGGAACUGCUUUGGAAACUGUACAGCUAGAGUGCAGGAGGGGUG